CCUGAACAGUUCCGUCAGUAUCAUAGAUUGGACAGGCAAUCAUUUGAAAAUAUUUUGAAGAUUGUUUUUCCAUACAUUGUAAAACAAGACACGCAAAUGAGGACAGCGUUAAAACCUCGCGAACGACUGGAGUAACCCUGCGAUUUCUUGCAACAGGUGAAACAUUUUGUAGUCUGUCAUUCCAGUUUAGAAUUGGCGAGCGUACAAUUUCGAAUAUUGUUGAGGAAACAUGCCAUGCUUUGUAUAUCUCGUUAAAGGAAACAUGUUUGGAGGCAAGUUAUUAAACAUUUACAACAAAUAUCGGUAGUAUUAUUAACAAUAACUGUUUACAUCCAUUAAGAGCUCAUGUUGUCAUAGGCAGAUGAGUCUUGACCACAAUUAAGCUCUCUAGAGAUUGGUGAAGACCACAUAUUAACAACAGGACGGCUCAAUCCACCAUCUAUUGGGGAAGAUGUGUUGAAUCGUUGACUAUUUGUCAUAUGAUUGCUGAUGGGGUGCAAGUUGUUUUGUGCAUAAGGUGUUUGAAACAUAUGUUGGUGCAUAGCUACUGGCACUCUUGUGCUUUGAUGUACUCCAUCUUGUGCAGAAGAAUGGAAGGCUGUUGCAGACCAAUUUGAAAAAAAAUGGAACUAUCCUGGCUGCAUUGGAGCUCUAGAUGGGAAACACAUAGCCAUACAACAACCAAAUAGUAGUGGAUCAGAAUUUUUCAACUACAAGCAUUUUUUCAGUGUUUUGCUUUUAGCUCUAGUAGAUGCAAACUACAAGUUUGUCUAUGUUAAUGUUGGAGCAGCAGGCCGUGCAGGAGAUGCUGGCGUGUAUAACGAGUCUAGCUUGUGAAAAGCUGUUGUUGAAAAUACUCUUGGUCUACCAUUACCAAUCAAAAUUCAUGCAUGACAAAUUUGAAUCCAUUCUACACAGACAGAAAUCCUUCUAAUAGUGCCAAAAUGCAAGGUGAAAUUCUGACGACAUAUUUUAACACUUGUGGAGCUGUAUCAUGGCAGGACAACAUUAUCUAGCAGUAGCACUUACUCUUAAUUAUAUAUAUAUAUAUAUAUAUAUGUUGUGCUAAAUAUUAAUUGUUUGGAAAAUCAAAAUAAAACAAGAAUUUCACUUACAGUAGCAAUAUU
Xenia sp. Carnegie-2017 is the source of this 1127-nucleotide long non-coding RNA. RefSeq lists it as uncharacterized. Lineage: Eukaryota; Metazoa; Cnidaria; Anthozoa; Malacalcyonacea; Xeniidae. The record is from RefSeq and is a predicted model, not a curated record. The transcript has 3 exons.